GAAAUGCGAUAAGUAGUGUGAAUUGCAGAAUUCAGUGAAUCAUCGAAUCUUUGAACGCACAUUGCGCCCCUUGGUAUUCCAUGGGGCAUGCCUGUUCGAGCGUCAUCUACACCCUCAAGCUCUGCUUGGUGUUGGGUGUCUGUCCCGCCCCCGCGCGUGGACUCGCCCCAAAUCCAUUGGCAGCGUUCCUUGCCCCCUCUCGCGCAGCACAUUGCGCUUCUCGAGGGCGGCUCCGGGACGCGAUCCAGCACGAUGACCACCGUCUUUGACCUCGGAUCAGGUAGGGAUACCCGCUGAACUUAAGC
Molecule: unclassified non-coding RNA, 305 nt
Filed under: plant metagenome
Description: partial contains 5.8S ribosomal RNA, internal transcribed spacer 2, and large subunit ribosomal RNA
Rfam family: 5.8S ribosomal RNA (bases 1-105)
Source: RNAcentral